Non-coding RNA from Procambarus clarkii (red swamp crayfish), 506 nucleotides. The record is from RefSeq and is a predicted model, not a curated record. NCBI's taxonomy places the organism in Eukaryota, Metazoa, Arthropoda, Malacostraca, Decapoda, Cambaridae.
GUGCAGUCGGAAGACAUAAUUAUCGAUGUUGGUGUGCAGGCUACGGACCUUGACCAGUCCAACCAGAGAUCCGACGAUACUCAAAACCAUUCUGAAGUGAACGGAGGUGUGUUGGUCAGUGGACAGGAAAUCCGGUUGAACAAGAUCUAACCCAUCCCAACCGCUCUUAUCCAUGACAGAACUUCACAAUAACGUGAAAGAAUUAAAAUCUAGCGAAAGCUAGACUUGUGCUGCCGUCUGAUGAUGUCCCAACCACAGCAGCUCACUACAUGGAUCCUUACAUCAUCUACAGAGUACAUAGUUGUGCAACUUACACAGUUUGCUGUCCCAGGCUGCAUGAAAUAUUUAGGACAUGUUUGAAAGGCUGAAGAGAGAAGAUAAGAGAAACUGGUAAAUGACAAGAAGUGAGAAGAUAAGAGAAGCCUAUCUACCUUAUAGGAUCACCGACUAGGCUGUUGGCGGUGACGAGGAGGCAGAAGCCGAAGAGCAAGGUGGCUGUAAGGCGG